RNAcentral lists this long non-coding RNA (5612 nucleotides) under Brassica napus (rape). RNAcentral's name for it is "long non-coding RNA (BNAP_LNC008937)". The record is from RNAcentral. Lineage: Eukaryota; Viridiplantae; Streptophyta; Magnoliopsida; Brassicales; Brassicaceae.
GAAAAUAUAUUUAUUUUGAACAUAAUAAUAUCAAAUUGCGGUCCACAUUUUACCUAUGAGUCUAUGACAUAUGAAAUAUACCAUCAGAAUUGCAUACUAAAACAAGAAUAAAGUGUUUCAAAUUUGUGCAUAAACUACAAACAGAUGAAUUAUGCACAUUCGUCAUAGUUUGAUGAGAUUUGAAAGAUCGAGAGCUGUUAUUAACUUCCAAUCUAGUUUCUUCUUCGUGAUUAUUGGUUAGUUACAAAGGUACUCUAUGAAACAAUCGAAAACUUGAAGAGCAUAUUGUGUUUGUAGUUUUUCCCUGGUUCAACAAUCUGUGAAGGAAACUUCGGAUUAUUGACGGAGUCUGGAUAACUUUGUGUUUCUAAACAUAAUCCCGCGAAAGCUUGGUAUACCGUUCCAUUCUUCCCCUUGAUGUCCUUUAACAUUCCUCCGGUAUAGAACUGCAAACCGGGUUGGUUUGCGGAUAACUCCAUUUUUCUUCCCGAUUUCUUAUCAACGAGUUCCACUAUUUUCCUCAUCUUAUCCGCCUUACCAUCUAAGCAAUAAUUAAUAUCAUAUCUACAAAGAAAAAAAUCAAUAAUUACAAAGAUGUUACCAUUAUUAGGGAUAAAUGUGGAUAUUGGAAGGGAUCCUAAUCAAUAUAUAAGAUAGAUGGGUCACUCCACUUAGUACCAAUUGGUUUUAGGUUGAAAGUUCAUCUAGCUUAACAUGGUAUCAGAGCCCGAUCCACACAGUCCAAUCCGAUCCAUUAUCGAUCCAGCCCAAAGUCGGCCCAUCGAUCUUUGCCCGAGCAUUCCGAGAUUGACGCUCAAAGAGCCAUCAUCUCGAGGGGGCGUAUUAGGGAUAAAUGUCCCACAUCGGAUAUUGGAAGGGAUCCUAAUCAAUAUAUAAGAUAGAUGGGUCACUCCACUUAGUACCAAUUGGUUUUAGGUUGAAAGUUCAUGUAACAUGGUAUCAGAGCUCGAUCCACGUAGUCCAACCCGAUCCACAUCGAUCUGGUCCAAAGUUGGUCCAUCGAUCUUUGCCCGAGCAUUCCGAGAUUGACGCUCAAAGAGCCAUCAUCUCGAGGGGGCGUAUUAGGGAUAAAUGUCCCACAUCGGAUAUUGGAAGGGAUCCUAAUCAAUAUAUAAGAUAGAUGGGUCACUCCACUUAGUACCAAUUGGUUUUAGGUUGAAAGUUCAUCUAACAUGGUAUCAGAGCCCGAUCCACGUAGUCCAACCCGAUCCACAUCGAUCUGGUCUAAAGUUGGCCCAUCGAUCUUUGCCCGAGCAUUCCGAGAUUGACGCUCAAAGAGCCAUCAUCUCGAGGGGGCGUAUUAGGGAUAAAUGUCCCACAUCGGAUAUUGGAAUGGAUCCUUAGCAAUAUAUAAGAUGGAUGGACUACUCCACUUAGCACCAAUUGGUUUUAGGUUGGAAGCCCAUCUAGCUUAACAACCAUCAGAUAACUUAGAGAAUUUUAUUUUUUUUAACUUGAGAAAAGUAUAUGUACUCACCCUGUUUUAAGAUCCUUCAUAUUAUCUUUAAUAGGACGGGGUUGAAGAAAAUCAUACGGUGUUCGUUUCACCGGCGAUAUUUUUCCGGUAGGAAUGAGUUCGCCGUCGACAGGAGUGUAACUUGAACCUAGGAUCUGUAUUUCCUCGGACAAAAUAUCUCCGGAGUUAUGACCACCAAGAUUCCAAUAAGUGUGAUGAGCUAAGUUCACCGGAGUUGCUUUAUCUUUAGCCUUUGCCUCCAUUACUACACUUAAUUUAUUGUCUUUGACAAGUUUAUAUGUCACCGUGACAAUGAGUUCUCCGGGAAACCCUAUUGUUACAUAAAGAAAUAAAUAAACUAGUAAUCAUAAAAUUUUCCUUACAGAUUAGAUAUAUAUAUAUUUUUAAAAUCGGGUAAAAAUUAAUAAAACAAUUGAAAAGAAAGGGGACCUUGAUCACCAUCAGGACUUGUGUAAGUGAAUACAAUGUGAGGUUUCUUGCCAUCAUACUUGUGCUUUGUAACUGCCCACACAACAUCGCCAAACCCUUUCUUCCCACCUAAAUUAUACAUAAAUUAUAUUCAAAUAAUCAUAAUUAACUGAUUUCUAAUAUGUUAUAGAACUUAUAGUACUCGUAUCUAAUUACCAUGAAGUGUGUUUUUGCCAUCGUUGGCAACAGUCUUGUACUCCUUUCCGUUCAAUUUGAAAUGGGCCUUUCCUAUUCUAUUCGCUACUCGGCCCACGGUUGCUCCAAAAUAGACCUUAUCUGUCUGCUUUGCAAACAAAGUUAGUAUAUUAACUUAGCAUAGUAAAAACAAAAUAAAAUUGUUGUAAUAGUAGUAAUUAAAAUCAAACAGAAAAACAUAAAGGGAAACUAAAGUUUCUACGCACCUCAUAGCUUUCGACGCUAUCAUAACCAAGAACAAUAUCGCCACUUUUUCCUGAAAAUUUGUUAAAGUCAUCAUAAUAAAAUCUAGUUAAAAUGUAUAUAAUAUGAGUUUUUAUUUGAUUGCCAACACUCAAAAUGAUUAGUUCACUAACCAUUUUUAUCCGGGAAAUGGAGAGACAUGAUUGAAGCACCCCAAUUUGUGAACUUGACGGUUAGAUUUUCCUUUUUGAGCUCAUAUAACCCAAUGUUUUCUUUUUCAUUAUCAUCUCCAUCAACUUCAUCAUCAUCAUCAUCUUUAUCAUCGUCAGUAUCAGUUUCAUCAUGUUCACCAUUCUUUUUAUCUUUGUGCUUCUUUUCAUCAUCAUCACUAUCAUUAUCAUUUUCAUGAUGCUUAACACUCUUCUUCUUAUCCCCAUGCUUCUUCACAUCAUCAUCAUCGUCUUUCUUUUCAUGUUGAACACCCUUUAUAUGCACAUCCUGCUCGUUCUUUUUAUGCUCACCUUCCUUCUUAUGCACAUCAUGCUUCUUCUUUUCGUCCUUUUUAUUCUCUUUGCCAUCAGAACGGGCAUUGUGAUCACCAUUUACUUUUUUUCCUCCUUUCUCUUUGUCUUUACUAAUAUGAUGAGCUUUAGUAACUUUCUUGCUGCUCUCCACUUGUUCCGAUUGCACUUCAACGUUGUUGGCAAAUGAAGUUACCACAACUCCUAAUGUAACCAAUAUAACCAAACAUAACAAAAGAGAAACUCUCGCCAUGGUGAAAGAAAAAACAAGAAUUGAAAGUAAUGAGUAAGAUGGAUUUUUUGGUGAGUAUUUAUAGGUUGAUUGUUAUUAGAAAUUAUAAAUAGGAAAUUUUAACGAAUGAUUCGUCAAAGAAGUUAGGAGAUAAAACCGGAAAUCAUAAUAUAAUCUAUCAAAACUAGCACAUAUUAAGAAAUAAAAUGAAUAAAAAACAAACGAGGAUUUCUUUGGUAACUGGUGAAAACUACAAAAACGAAUACGACUUACAAAGAGACAAUAUGGAUUCAUAAACAUAUCAAAUAAUUUCAUUCAUCAGAUCAUACUUUUAAUUUUAAUAACGCUGUAAAUUGUCUAUCAUUAAGUACAUGAUGUGCUUGAUUAAUAUUUUUGUAGUUACAAUAUUAUUUUCUGUGCUCUGCCCUUUCUUACAGUGUUUCUAAAUUGCAAACUUGAAAGAACAAACUCAUAACGAAUUAUUAUGUCACUAUAUAUAAUUUUUAUGAACUAGGCGUAAACCUAAUAUUUAAAGUUCAAACAUUAUGUAAUGUGUUUUCACGUAGUCAGUCGGGUAGAUAGACUCAAUAUUCAAUACACCCAAUGUACAAUUUACAUUUUAUUCAAGCACAGUUUAGUACCUUUGUACUUUCGUAACUUGAUUUAACCUUUUUGUUUUAAUAAAAGGCGAGCUGAAACUGAAAUUAUUGCCUUUUAAAUUUUUGUAUCAACUAUAAGUGGAAAAAAAACAUUGGAACAUUGCUUCAGAUCCAUGCACCAUGAAUCAGGCACGUUUUUUUUUGCUAAUUUUACUGUAAAUAAUCCCAUAUUACGGCUACAAAUCAAGACGCAUUAUUUUAUAAUUUUCGUAGGUUAUCGAAGGAUUAUCUAUUGGUUACAAUUAAACAUUUCUAACAAAAAUAACUUUAUAGAUACUAAGUUUAUUAAUUGUUUUAGUAAAAAAUUGAACUAAAAAUAAUUUAGUAAAGUUUAUGAAUCUCUACCGGUUAUUACAAGACCAAAAAGGAACCUGUAAAAUGGAAGUUAGCAUUAACGAUAUUGUAGAUAAUAAUAAUAGUGGUAGCCGGUAGAUGAGGAAGAUUAUUGGAAACACACAUUCCAAAGACGAAGAAGAAAAAUCCAAAAAGAGAACAGAUUCGAAACAGUGUUUAGGAGAAUCGUUCAGUCAUCUAGCUAGCUUUUCGGAUCUUUGGAUGCUUUUGGAUUUGAAGUAUUUAUAAAUUUAAAUUAUACAAUAAAAUGUACAUAUACUUGUUUAUCAGUAUCACACAAGAAAACAAAUUGAGUACCAAAUAUUUCUUUCUUCGUGGGCUCUCCAUGUGACCUCACUGCCACCACUACUUCACUUCAACAGAAACUACUCAGACUUGAGAUCGUGAAAGUUUUAGUUUAAGUGAAUCAUCUAAAACAAUACAAUAUACAUAUAAGUUAUAAAUUCAUGCAGUGUUCGUAUGAUGUAGCAAUACUCAAAUAAAUAGUAUGAUAAACAUUGGAGCGAAACCUUUCACCAAAAAAUCUGAAACGCACUGUUUUGUGCGAAACCAAAGUUACUGAAAAAUUAUAAAUUUAUUGUCAGAUCCUAAACUCAUAUGCCAACUACACUAAUAUAUUCAGAUACUGUUCGAUAUGCGUACGUACUUACAUACGUAAUUAAUGGAAUAUAUAGCUAGAUGAUGGCAUGUGAGACCAUGGAGUCAUCAUAUGUUUUAUAUGGUAGUAUAAGAAUUUUGGUGAAGUGCACAUGUUUAUGUUGAUGGAUUAGGGAUAGGUCAACUCCUAAAUUCUCUGUUUUCUAUCAUUUGAUUUAGUGAAUACCGUCAUUAUUUAUGAAUAGAUUGACCCGCCAUAAUCGCAUUUAAAUGCACUUUAAUAUGAUCUUGAAAGUUGAAGUAUAAGAUCACAUUCGAAUAUUGAUAUUUCUUUCUCAACACCAUUUUAUGACAAAAUCUUAUGCACACUUCUGACAUCCUCAUUCAGCAUAUAAUUUGAAAUAAAUGAAUUAACCUUGAAAAGAAAAAUGGGUAAUGUGGCUACAACUAUUAAAUCCAAACCCUUUUACAAACAAAAAAACUAUUAAAUCCUUCGAGGUCUUCAUGGGUUUUCCUCUAUGAUCUUAUACGGUUACGGGAAGAAAAUAAAUAUUUUGAACAUAAUAAUAUCAAAUUGCGGUCCACAUUUUACCUAUGACAUAUGAAAUAUACAAUCAGAAUUGCAUACUAAAACAAGAAUAAAGUGUUUCAAAUUUGUGCAUAAACUACAAACAGAUGAAUUAUGCACAUUCGUCAUAGUUUGAUGAGAUUUGAAAGAUCGAGAGCUGUUAUUAACUUCCAAUCUAGUUUCUUCUUCGUGAUUAUUGGUUAGUUACAAAGGUACUCUAUGAAACAAUCGAAAACUUGAAGAGCAUAUUGUGUUUGUAGUUUUUCCCUGGUUCAACAAUCUGUGAAGGAAACUUCGGAUUAUUGACUGAGUCUGGAUAACUUUGUGUUUCUAAACA